GUGGGUGUAGCUCAGUGGUAGAGCACGUGCUUGGCAUGCCCGAAGUCCUGGAUUCAAUCCCCAGUACCUGCA
RNAcentral lists this transfer RNA (72 nucleotides) under Camelus bactrianus (Bactrian camel). It matches the Rfam family "tRNA". Rfam says of the family: Transfer RNA (tRNA) molecules are approximately 80 nucleotides in length. Lineage: Eukaryota; Metazoa; Chordata; Mammalia; Artiodactyla; Camelidae. RNAcentral also lists the same sequence under 2 other names. The record is from Rfam by way of RNAcentral.